UGGACAUGCGUUUCUGGAUAAUGGUUGGUUUUGGUAAACUUCCAAAGUACCAUCAGGAUCCUACAACAGAAGAGUUAGCCAAAACACUCGACUGUUGGCCUUCAUUGAACUAUUAUAUCACUGUUUGUAAAUAUGUUCUUAUGCCAUGGAAAUUCAAUGGAUGCUACGCACUUUUCGUAAUCGAUCAUGGUAAAAAGCACGUAACUUUUAUAGACUUUACACCCACUCAAGAUUGGUGUAAACACAUGCCAUACAAGAGGUUUGCGGAAGCAAUUAUCAUGGCCUCAAAGAAAUAUAAGAUUGCCUACAACAAGAAACAUUUUGGAUGGGCAGAUGAUAUUUUUAAGUGGGAACAUACAAUUCGGUCUGGUGUUCCAAUUGACUUAAAAGGGUAUUUUCUCAAUACCAUGUUCUCAAC
This 418-nucleotide unclassified non-coding RNA is filed under the name Zea mays. Its description in RNAcentral is "misc RNA Zm00001eb343550". Lineage: Eukaryota; Viridiplantae; Streptophyta; Magnoliopsida; Poales; Poaceae. The record is from RNAcentral.